AACGAACGCUGGCGGCACGUUUUAAGCAUGCAAGUCGAAUGGCAGCAGGGGCAACUCUGUGAGAAUGGCGAACGGGUGAGUAACACGUAGGUGAUCUGCCUUGAGGAUGGGGAUAGCCUGUGGAAACACAGGGUAAUACCGAAUGAGCUGACGAGACUUUGGUUUUGUUAGUAAAGGUGCUACGGCACCGCCUUGAGAGGAGCCUGCGGCUGAUUAGCUAGUUGGUGGGGUAAGAGCUUACCAAGGCGACGAUCAGUAGCCGGCCUGAGAGGGUGUACGGCCACACUGGAACUGAGACACGGUCCAGACUCCUACGGGAGGCAGCAGCUAAGAAUCUUCCGCAAUGGGCGAAAGCCUGACGGAGCGAUGCCGCGUGAUCGAUGAAGGUCGAGAGAUUGUAAAGAUCUUUUCUACAUGAGGAAUAAGUCUGGGAGGGAAUGCCCGGAUGAUGACGUUAGUGUAGGAAUAAGCCCCGGCUAAUUACGUGCCAGCCGCCGCCGUAA
RNAcentral lists this ribosomal RNA (503 nucleotides) under uncultured bacterium. Its description in RNAcentral is "partial 16S ribosomal RNA". It matches the Rfam family "Bacterial small subunit ribosomal RNA", at positions 29 to 523 of the family's 1533-position model. The record is from RNAcentral.